GACGAACGCUGGCGGCGUGCUUAACACAUGCAGGUCGAACGGGCCUUGUCCCCUUUUUUUUUGGGGGUGGGGUUAGUGGCGAACGGGUGAGUAACACGUGAGUAACCUGCCCCUCACUUCUGGAUAACCGCUUGAAAGGGUGGCUAAUACGGGGUGUUCUGGCCUGCUCGCAUGGGUGGGUUUGGAAAGAUUCGACCGGUUUUGGUUGUUUUUGUGGGGGAUGGGCUCGCGGCCUAUCAGCUUGUUGGUGGGGUGAUGGCCUGCCAAGGCUUUGACGGGUAGCCGGCCUGAGAGGGUGGGCGGGCACAAUGGGACUGAGACACGGCCCAGACUCCUACGGGAGGCAGCAGUGGGGAAUAUUGCACAAUGGGCGCAAGCCUGAUGCAGCGACGCCGCGUGAGGGAUGGAGGCCUUCGGGUUGUGAACCUCUUUCGCCAGUGAAGAAGGUCCUGCUCUUUGUGGUGGGGUUGACGGUAGCUGGGUUAAUGAAGCGCCGGCUAACUACGUG
This 508-nucleotide ribosomal RNA is filed under the name uncultured bacterium. Its description in RNAcentral is "partial 16S ribosomal RNA". It matches the Rfam family "Bacterial small subunit ribosomal RNA", at positions 28 to 507 of the family's 1533-position model. The record is from RNAcentral.